RNA transcript from Brassica oleracea var. oleracea, 1327 nucleotides. It is a transcript of the gene named CBS domain-containing protein CBSX1, chloroplastic-like, with no coding region annotated. The transcript is spliced from 9 exons. The record is from RefSeq and is a predicted model, not a curated record. NCBI's taxonomy places the organism in Eukaryota, Viridiplantae, Streptophyta, Magnoliopsida, Brassicales, Brassicaceae.
UCUUCGCUUUUCCCAAUACAAACGCAGAGAUAUCGUGAUCUCUCCAACUCUUAUCACUUCCGGCGAUCUCUCUCUCUCUCCGACGUUCAAUGGACGCCGUCGUCCACGCUUGUCCACUCUCCAUCACGCGCCUACGCGCACCGCCCUCACUUUCUUCUCCAACUCUUAUCCCUCCGAGAUUCCUCUCCAUCCACUCCACCUUCUCUCCCACUCUCAGCUCCCUCUCCAAAUCCCGAGGUCCUUCAGCUUCCUCCGCCGGCGCCACGUUGAUGGCGAAGUCCUCUUCGCCAAGAAGUGGAGUGUAUACUGUUGGUGAGUUCAUGACCAAGAAGGAUGCCUUGCAUGUGGUCAAACCUACCACCACUGUUGAUGAAGCUCUAGAAAUCCUUGUGGAGAAUAGGAUUACAGGAUUUCCUGUGAUAGACCAAGACUGGAAGCUGGUUGGGCUUGUUUCAGAUUAUGAUUUGUUGGCUUUGGACUCCAUCUCUGGUAGUGGAAGUACAGAAAAUGCCAUGUUCCCUGAGGUUGACAGCACCUGGAAAACUUUCAACGCAGUGCAAAAGCUACUAAGCAAAACCAAUGGGAAGCUUGUUGGAGAUUUAAUGACACCAGCUCCAGUUGUUGUUGAGGAAAAUACCAACCUCGAAGAUGCUGCUAAAAUCUUGCUCGAGACCAAAUAUCGCCGGCUCCCUGUGGUAGAUUCUGAUGGCAAAUUGGUUGGUAUUAUCACAAGAGGAAACGUGGUUAGAGCCGCACUUCAAAUAAAGCGCACUGGUGAUAGGAACGCUUGAAUAAGAAUACAAAUUAAGCCAAGAAAACAGGUUGUAGAGAGGAAAUCAACAUGGAUCAAACAUUAAUUAUCCAGAUAAUAAGAAUGAGUACUCAACAGUACUAGAAAUAUAGUAACUUGUAUUACAGGAGUUCCGCAUCUUAUGUCGGUCACAAGGAACUCAGCUUUUGUUGAAUUCUGUCUGGUCAAGACAGUGUGAAAAGAUGGAGCAAUGGGAGUGGAAUAAUCACGAAGUCUCUAUGGUCUUGCGGUCUCGUCUUGUGUCACGGAGCUUUCAGAGUCACGGAGUGAAAGUGUAAUAGUACUUCUGGUCUUAGAGUCUUGUGGUCUUGAAGUCUUGUUAUCUUGGAGUCUAGUGGUCUUGGAGUGUUGUAGUACUUGAGUCAAGGAGUAAAAGUGUAGUAGUCUUUUAGUACUUGUGUCACGAGUCUUGGUAUGUAGUCGUGGAGUGUUGUUGUAGUCUUGUAGUACUUCUGUCACGGGUCUUGUAUCAGACUUUGGUUCCCAAUCUCUAUAUAUUAACUCAUGUUGCGUUGA